RNAcentral lists this ribosomal RNA (492 nucleotides) under uncultured bacterium. RNAcentral's name for it is "partial 16S ribosomal RNA". It matches the Rfam family "Bacterial small subunit ribosomal RNA", at positions 29 to 507 of the family's 1533-position model. The record is from RNAcentral.
AGUGAACGCUGGCGGCAGGCCUAACACAUGCAAGUCGAACGGCAGCACAGUAAGAGCUUGCUCUUACGGGUGGCGAGUGGCGGACGGGUGAGGAAUACAUCGGAAUCUACUUUUUCGUGGGGGAUAACGUAGGGAAACAUACGCUAAUACCGCAUACGACCUACGGGUGGAAGCAGGGGAGCUUCGGACCUUUCGCGAUUGUAUGAGCCGAUGUCGGAUUAGCUAGUUGGUGGGGUAAAGGCCCACCAAGGCAACGAUCCGUAGCUGGUCUGAGAGGAUGAUCAGCCACACUGGAACUGAGACACGGUCCAGACUCCUACGGGAGGCAGCAGUGGGGAAUAUUGGACAAUGGGCGCAAGCCUGAUCCAGCCAUACCGCGUGGGUGAAGAAGGCCUUCGGGUUGUAAAGCCCUUUUGUUGGGAAAGAAAAGCAGCAGGUUAAUACCCCGCUGUUCUGACGGUACCCAAAGAAUAAGCACCGGCUAACUUCGUG